RNAcentral lists this ribosomal RNA (419 nucleotides) under Salmonella enterica subsp. enterica serovar Thompson. RNAcentral's name for it is "partial 16S ribosomal RNA". It matches the Rfam family "Bacterial small subunit ribosomal RNA", at positions 556 to 974 of the family's 1533-position model. RNAcentral also lists the same sequence under 3 other names. The record is from RNAcentral. Lineage: Bacteria; Pseudomonadati; Pseudomonadota; Gammaproteobacteria; Enterobacterales; Enterobacteriaceae.
GGGCGUAAAGCGCACGCAGGCGGUCUGUCAAGUCGGAUGUGAAAUCCCCGGGCUCAACCUGGGAACUGCAUUCGAAACUGGCAGGCUUGAGUCUUGUAGAGGGGGGUAGAAUUCCAGGUGUAGCGGUGAAAUGCGUAGAGAUCUGGAGGAAUACCGGUGGCGAAGGCGGCCCCCUGGACAAAGACUGACGCUCAGGUGCGAAAGCGUGGGGAGCAAACAGGAUUAGAUACCCUGGUAGUCCACGCCGUAAACGAUGUCUACUUGGAGGUUGUGCCCUUGAGGCGUGGCUUCCGGAGCUAACGCGUUAAGUAGACCGCCUGGGGAGUACGGCCGCAAGGUUAAAACUCAAAUGAAUUGACGGGGGCCCGCACAAGCGGUGGAGCAUGUGGUUUAAUUCGAUGCAACGCGAAGAACCUUAC